This 473-nucleotide ribosomal RNA is filed under the name uncultured bacterium. RNAcentral's name for it is "bacterial SSU rRNA". It matches the Rfam family "Bacterial small subunit ribosomal RNA", at positions 335 to 802 of the family's 1533-position model. The record is from RNAcentral.
ACUCCUACGGGAGGCAGCAGUAGGGAAUCUUCCACAAUGGACGAAAGUCUGAUGGAGCAACGCCGCGUGAGUGAAGAAGGGUUUCGGCUCGUAAAACUCUGUUGUUAAAGAAGAACAUAUCUGAGAGUAACUGUUCAGGUAUUGACGGUAUUUAACCAGAAAGCCACGGCUAACUACGUGCCAGCAGCCGCGGUAAUACGUAGGUGGCAAGCGUUGUCCGGAUUUAUUGGGGCGUAAAGCGAGCGCAGGCGGUUUUUAAGUCUGAUGUGAAAGCCUUCGGCUCAACCGAAGAAGUGCAUCGGAAACUGGGAAACUUGAGUGCAGAAGAGGACAGUGGAACUCCAUGUGUAGCGGUGAAAUGCGUAGAUAUAUGGAAGAACACCAGUGGCGAAGGCGGCUGUCUGGUCUGUAACUGACGCUGAGGCUCGAAGGUAUGGGUAGCAAACAGGAUUAGAUACCCUGGUAGGAUAGCG